GUACACCCGCAGCACGAGUAGUGGUCACUUUUAUUGAGCCUAAAGCGUUCGUAGCCGGUUUUGUAAAUCUUCAGAUAAAGCCUGAAGCUUAACUCCAGAAAGUCUGAAGAGACUGCAAGACUUGAGAUCGGGUGAGGUUAAACGUACUUUCAGGGUAGGGGUAAAAUCCUGUAAUCCCGGAAGGACGACCAGUGGCGAAAGCGUUUAACUAGAACGAAUCUGACGGUAAGGAACGAAGGCUAGGGUAGCAAACCGGAUUAGAUACCCGGGUAGUCCUAGCUGUAAACAUUGCCCAUUUGAUGUUGCUUUUCCGUUGAGGGAAGGCAGUGUCGGAGCGAAGGUGUUAAAUGGGCCGCUUGGGAAGCAUGGUCGCAAGACUGAAACUUAAAGGAAUUGGCGGGGGAGCACCGCAACGGGAGGAAUGUGCGGUUUAAUUGGAUUCAACGCCGGAAAACUCACCGGGAACGACCUGUGCAUGAGAGUCAACCUGACGAGCUUACUCGAUAGCAGGAGAGGUGGUGCAUGGCCGUCGUCAGCUCGUACCGUAGGGCGUUCACUUAAGUGUGAUAACGAGCGAGACCCACAUCUUUAAUUGCAAAUGUAUAUGAGAAUA
RNAcentral lists this ribosomal RNA (613 nucleotides) under uncultured bacterium. RNAcentral describes it as "bacterial SSU rRNA". It matches the Rfam family "Archaeal small subunit ribosomal RNA", at positions 471 to 1084 of the family's 1478-position model. The record is from RNAcentral.